GAUGAACGCUGGCGGCGUGCCUAAUACAUGCAAGUCGAGCGAACAGACGAGGAGCUUGCUCCUCUGACGUUAGCGGCGGACGGGUGAGUAACACGUGGAUAACCUACCUAUAAGACUGGGAUAACUUCGGGAAACCGGAGCUAAUACCGGAUAAUAUAUUGAACCGCAUGGUUCAAUAGUGAAAGACGGUUUUGCUGUCACUUAUAGAUUGAUCCGCGCCGCAUUAGCUAGUUGGUAAGGUAACGGCUUACCAAGGCAACGAUGCGUAGCCGACCUGAGAGGGUGAUCGGCCAGACUGGAACUGAGACACGGUCCAGACUCCUACGGGAGGCAGCAGUAGGGAAUCUUCCGCAAUGGGCGAAAGCCUGACGGAGCAACGCCGCGUGAGUGAUGAAGGUCUUCGGAUCGUAAAACUCUGUUAUUAGGGAAGAACAAAUGUGUAAGUAACUAUGCACGUCUUGACGGUACCUAAUCAGAAAGCCACGGCUAACUACGUG
This 497-nucleotide ribosomal RNA is filed under the name uncultured bacterium. RNAcentral describes it as "partial 16S ribosomal RNA". It matches the Rfam family "Bacterial small subunit ribosomal RNA", at positions 28 to 507 of the family's 1533-position model. The record is from RNAcentral.